UACAGAGGGUGCAAGCGUUGUUCGGAAUUAUUGGGCGUAAAGAGCUCGUAGGCGGUUUGUCGCGUCUGCUGUGAAAUCCCGAGGCUCAACCUCGGGCCUGCAGUGGGUACGGGCAGACUGGAGUGCGGUAGGGGAGAAUGGAAUUCCUGGUGUAGCGGUGGAAUGCGCAGAUAUCAGGAGGAACACCGAUGGCGAAGGCAGGUCUCUGGGCAUUAACUGACGCUGAGGAGCGAAAGCAUGGGGAGCGAACAGG
This 253-nucleotide ribosomal RNA is filed under the name uncultured bacterium. Its description in RNAcentral is "partial 16S ribosomal RNA". It matches the Rfam family "Bacterial small subunit ribosomal RNA", at positions 524 to 776 of the family's 1533-position model. The record is from RNAcentral.